RNAcentral lists this ribosomal RNA (404 nucleotides) under Actinomycetes bacterium. Its description in RNAcentral is "Actinobacteria bacterium partial 16S ribosomal RNA". It matches the Rfam family "Bacterial small subunit ribosomal RNA", at positions 355 to 776 of the family's 1533-position model. Lineage: Bacteria; Bacillati; Actinomycetota; Actinomycetes. The record is from RNAcentral.
UGGGGAAUAUUGGACAAUGGGCGCAAGCCUGAUCCAGCCAUGCCGCGUGAGUGAUGAAGGCCCUAGGGUUGUAAAGCUCUUUCACCGGUGAAGAUAAUGACGGUAACCGGAGAAGAAGCCCCGGCUAACUUCGUGCCAGCAGCCGCUGUAAUACGAAGGGGGCUAGCGUUGUUCGGAUUUACUGGGCGUAAAGCGCACGUAGGCGGACUAUUAAGUCAGGGGUGAAAUCCCGGGGCUCAACCCCGGAACUGCCUUUGAUACUGGUAGUCUUGAGUUCGAGAGAGGUGAGUGGAAUUCCGAGUGUAGAGGUGAAAUUCGUAGAUAUUCGGAGGAACACCAGUGGCGAAGGCGGCUCACUGGCUCGAUACUGACGCUGAGGUGCGAAAGCGUGGGGAGCAAACAGG